UGUCCAAGGAUGGGAAUCGAACCCACAGUGUUCCGCUUACCGGGCAGAUGACAUGUCCACUAGACUAACCUGGAC
RNAcentral lists this transfer RNA (75 nucleotides) under Cordylochernes scorpioides. RNAcentral describes it as "tRNA-Thr". The record is from RNAcentral. Lineage: Eukaryota; Metazoa; Arthropoda; Arachnida; Pseudoscorpiones; Chernetidae.